CUCCACAAAACUUUUUUCACCCUUCGACGCUCCUCUUCUACCCACAAAAUCAUGACACUACUAAUUACAGUGAAACAAGCUUCUCGGUUUCAUACUUGCUCUGAUGAUACCGGCUUUGUUUUAGUUUUAAGUCUGUAGCCGAUGUCCGCUGACACUAUCGACUUCCUUUCUUGCACUGAUCGAGGCUUUUGUUUCUGGCGACAACCGUGUUUCAAAUCUGACGCCUUCGUUUCAGUUUCAGAAUUAUGUUUAAAGUUUUCAUGAAGACAACUAAAGAACAACUGACCCCGUAGUUUCAUAUGUGGCAGAAAAUUUGUUUGAAAAAAUUGAAAAGAUUUAUGAAGGAACGUAUGGUGUAGUCAAAAUUCCUUUAGAGAAAGCAGACGAGGGAGUGGCUACCACAGCUAUAAGAGAAAUCUCACUGUUGAAUGAGAUAAAUGUUGAAAAUAUUGUCAUGUAGCUUUCUAUUUUACAACUAGCUAUAGUUAAUUGAUUAUAUAGAUAAAGGACCAAUAUUUCUGUUACUUUUGGAUGGAU
Non-coding RNA from Lactuca sativa (garden lettuce), 537 nucleotides. NCBI's taxonomy places the organism in Eukaryota, Viridiplantae, Streptophyta, Magnoliopsida, Asterales, Asteraceae. The record is from RefSeq and is a predicted model, not a curated record.